Long non-coding RNA from Sceloporus undulatus (fence lizard), 385 nucleotides. RefSeq lists it as uncharacterized. The transcript has 3 exons. Lineage: Eukaryota; Metazoa; Chordata; Lepidosauria; Squamata; Phrynosomatidae. The record is from RefSeq and is a predicted model, not a curated record.
UCAGGGGGCAGUGUGGAAGCUAUGUUGCUGUGAAGACUGUAGAAUUUAUGCUGGAAAAAAAUGCUGAAUGUCUGUUUCUCCAGGGCUAUGUUUCAUUUGAACUGCAACUAAGAAUCCAUGGACUAAAUACAAAGGACUAAUAUUCCCUUGGAUUUACAAGAUGACUAUUAUGUUCAAUGAAAAUGCAGUGCUUAAACAUUUGACACUGGGAGUCAAAAGGAUUUACCAUCAAUGCCAGAUGAAGAAGUCAGCGAUCUUCAAAAGUUAAUGUGAUGCAUUUUGUCCUUUUUGUUGGCUCUAUAAAGGUAUCAUCAUGAUGCAUAUUUUGGAUUUUGUUGUAUUUUGCUCUGUGGCCAAUGUUUUCCCAUAUUUAAAACUUUUUAUU